RNAcentral lists this transfer RNA (26 nucleotides) under Cyrtodactylus interdigitalis. Its description in RNAcentral is "tRNA-Tyr". Lineage: Eukaryota; Metazoa; Chordata; Lepidosauria; Squamata; Gekkonidae. The record is from RNAcentral.
GGUUGGGGGGGCAUAACCCCGUGGGC